RNAcentral lists this ribosomal RNA (399 nucleotides) under uncultured bacterium. RNAcentral's name for it is "bacterial SSU rRNA". It matches the Rfam family "Bacterial small subunit ribosomal RNA", at positions 356 to 773 of the family's 1533-position model. The record is from RNAcentral.
GGGGAAUAUUGCACAAUGGAGGAAACUCUGAUGCAGCGACGCCGCGUGAACGAUGAAGGCUUUCGGGUCGUAAAGUUCUGUCCUAGGGGACGAUAAUGACGGUACCCUAGGAGGAAGCCCCGGCUAACUACGUGCCAGCAGCCGCGGUAAUACGUAGGGGGCAAGCGUUGUCCGGAUUUAUUGGGCGUAAAGGGUUCGCAGGUGGUCCUUUAAGUCAGAUGUGAAAGAUCACAGCUCAACUGUGGUAAGCAUUUGAAACUGAAGGACUUGAGUUAAGGAGAGGAAAGUGGAAUUCCUAGUGUAGCGGUGAAAUGCGUAGAUAUUAGGAGGAAUACCAGUGGCGAAGGCGACUUUCUGGACUUAUACUGACACUGAGGAACGAAAGCGUGGGGAGCAAAC